CGUGCAGCGCCUGGCCAGGUGGGUGGAGCACGCGCUGCCCUUCUCCCUGCUCCUGCUUGGCAUCUUCAUCCGCCAACACCUGUAACUCUCAGGCUACAUGGUUGGGGAAGCGAUGCUGCCGGUGUCAUGCCGGGCUCUGGUUUCGGUCGACGCCAACGAUUGUGAUGCCUCACCGUGGCUGCAGGUUGAAGCGUCGUGCUAGAUGUAUUUAAUUUUUGUUUUUUGAUAACGUUCAUAACCAUGGCAUUCUUACCAUGAUGCAGCAAAGCGCAUCUAGCUAGGUGUACCUAAUACAAUAAGUUUGCUCUCCACUUCAGAAUUCAAAGGAGCUCAACAUUUGUUUUAUAGUGCAAACAAAUUACUGAUCUAUUACAAAUUGGUAUUGUCUUGAUCUAUUACAAAUUGAUAUUGUCUUCUUCAGGUCUUUAUUUUGCAGUUCUCUUCUCAAAUACCCUCUCUGUUGCCAUGAAAUAUCAGCAACACAAAUUAGUGACCUUGCCAGGUAAUCAUGAUGAUUAAGAACGAAAAUGGUACCCAGGAGUAUGUAGUGUAGUAAUAUUCAGAAAAAUGUAUGUUUCUAUCUCUUUCAAGUCCGUGCUAGCUAUUUCUUUAAACGGCAUUCGGACAAUAUGUGCAGAAGGAUGAUGCCCAUACGGACUAAAUUUCUCUUUUGUAGGUUAAAAAGAGGUCUUAUGUGGGAUACAAACCAAAGCUUGCUUGCAUACACUCUGGUGCUCCAGUGGAUUUGCAAGCUGAAGUUCGUGCACAUAGAACUGUUAAAAAAGUUCAUGUCUUCCAUUUUUGCGCCGAGGUUUUUAAUUGAUAUUUAUGGAAGAGUAGAAAUAUCUUUUAUUUGUGUGAUACAGAAAAUGUUCCAUCGCAGUAUACAAUUGAGCAAAAAGUAAUCGAGAGAGCAUAUAUAAGAAGCUUGCCUUGGAUGCUUUGGUCAUAUAGCAGGAUUUUGAUAGGCAGAACAGAAAAAUUGCUUUUGUUUCUUCUCACUACAUGUAAUGUAAUUAUUUUUCAUGUUAAAUGUUAAAAGUGGAACAAGUAGUAAUGUGA
This is an RNA transcript of Hordeum vulgare subsp. vulgare (domesticated barley), 1062 nucleotides long. RefSeq lists it as uncharacterized. NCBI's taxonomy places the organism in Eukaryota, Viridiplantae, Streptophyta, Magnoliopsida, Poales, Poaceae. The record is from RefSeq and is a predicted model, not a curated record. The transcript is spliced from 2 exons.